RNAcentral lists this ribosomal RNA (467 nucleotides) under uncultured bacterium. RNAcentral's name for it is "partial 16S ribosomal RNA". It matches the Rfam family "Bacterial small subunit ribosomal RNA", at positions 28 to 507 of the family's 1533-position model. The record is from RNAcentral.
GAUGAACGCUGGCGGCGUGCUUAACACAUGCAAGUCGAACGGAAAGGCCCAAGCUUGCUUGGGUACUCGAGUGGCGAACGGGUGAGUAACACGUGGGUGAUCUGCCCUGCACUUCGGGAUAAGCCUGGGAAACUGGGUCUAAUACCGGAUAGGACCACUUCUUGGAUGUUGUGGUGGAAAGUUUUUUCGGUGUGGGAUGAGCUCGCGGCCUAUAAGCUUGUUGGUGGGGUAAUGGCCUACCAAGGCGUCGACGGGUAGCCGGCCUGAGAGGGUGUACGGCCACAUUGGGACUGAGAUACGGCCCAGACUCCUACGGGAGGCAGCAGUGGGGAAUAUUGCACAAUGGGCGCAAGCCUGAUGCAGCGACGCCGCGUGGGGGAUGACGGCCUUCGGGUUGUAAACUCCUUUCGCUAGGGACGAAGCGUUUUGUGACGGUACCUGGAGAAGAAGCACCGGCUAACUACGUG